CAAGCCGCGGUAAUACGUAGGGUGCAAGCGUUAAUCGGAAUUACUGGGCGUAAAGCGUGCGCAGGCGGUUUGUUAAGACAGAUGUGAAAUCCCCGGGCUCAACCUGGGAACUGCAUUUGUGACUGGCAAGCUAGAGUGUGGCAGAGGGGGGUGGAAUUCCGCGUGUAGCAGUGAAAUGCGUAGAUAUGCGGAGGAACACCGAUGGCGAAGGCAGCCCCCUGGGCCAACACUGACGCUCAUGCACGAAAGCGUGGGGAGCAAACAAGAUUAGAGACCCCUGUAGUCCUGUCUCUUAUACACA
Molecule: ribosomal RNA, 301 nt
Filed under: uncultured bacterium
Lineage: Bacteria
Description: partial 16S ribosomal RNA
Rfam family: Bacterial small subunit ribosomal RNA
Source: RNAcentral